UCGAACGGUGAAGCCUUUCGGGGUGGAUCAGUGGCGAACGGGUGAGUAACACGUGGGCAAUCUGCCUCGUACUUUGGGAUAACCCGGGGAAACUCGGGCUAAUACCGGAUAGGACUGCUGGGCGCAUGCUUGGUGGUGGAAAGCUCCGGCGGUACGAGAUGAGCCCGCGGCCUAUCAGCUUGUUGGUGGGGUGAUGGCCUACCAAGGCGACGACGGGUAGCCGGCCUGAGAGGGCGACCGGCCACACUGGGACUGAGACACGGCCCAGACUCCUACGGGAGGCAGCAGUGGGGAAUAUUGCACAAUGGGCGCAAGCCUGAUGCAGCGACGCCGCGUGAGGGAUGACGGCCUUCGGGUUGUAAACCUCUUUCAGCAGGGAAGAAGCCUCGGUCUUUUGAUGGGGGUGACGGUACUUGCAGAAGAAGCACCGGCUAACUACGUGCCAGCAGCCGCGGUAAUACGUAGGGUGCGAGCAUUGUCCGGAAUUAUUGGGCGUAAAGAGCUCGUAGGCGGCUUGUUGCGUCGGAUGUGAAAGCCCGGGGCUUAACCCCGGGUCUGCAUUCGAUACGGGCAGGCUAGAGUUCGGUAGGGGAGACUGGAAUUCCUGGUGUAGCGGUGAAAUGCGCAGAUAUCAGGAGGAACACCGGUGGCGAAGGCGGGUCUCUGGGCCGAUACUGACGCUGAGGAGCGAAAGCGUGGGGAGCGAACAGGAUUAGAUACCCUGGUAGUCCACGCCGUAAACGUUGGGAACUAGGUGUGGGCGACAUUCCACGUUGUCCGUGCCGUAGCUAACGCAUUAAGUUCCCCGCCUGGGGAGUACGGCCGCAAGGCUAAA
RNAcentral lists this ribosomal RNA (835 nucleotides) under Streptomyces sp. FXJ6.388. RNAcentral describes it as "bacterial SSU rRNA". It matches the Rfam family "Bacterial small subunit ribosomal RNA", at positions 62 to 898 of the family's 1533-position model. Lineage: Bacteria; Bacillati; Actinomycetota; Actinomycetes; Kitasatosporales; Streptomycetaceae. The record is from RNAcentral.